Molecule: ribosomal RNA, 693 nt
Filed under: Triticum aestivum (bread wheat)
Lineage: Eukaryota; Viridiplantae; Streptophyta; Magnoliopsida; Poales; Poaceae
Description: partial small subunit ribosomal RNA
Source: RNAcentral
AUGGCCAAACCUAGAAGGCUCACUCUAAUAAAUUCUGUGCUUACAUCCAUGGCCACCUAUUUCUUAACCAGUUUUGCAGUUGACAAAUGGGCAAUAAAGAAAAUGGAAAAGAUUCAGCGAAACUUCCUUUGGAAUGGUGAUGAGGAGUGCAACGGGGCCAAGUGCCUUGUCAACUGGAAGAGGGUCUGCUCCCCAAAGGAUCUUGGUGGCCUUGGAAUCAAAGACAUUGCCUGCUUCAGUAGGGCAUUGCGGCUGCGUUGGGCUUGGGUAGAGUGGAGCCCCAAUUCAAGGCCUUGGCAGGGCACCCCCAUCCCAUGCGAUCGCGCGGACAUGCUGCUUUUCUCAGCUUGCACGGAGAUUUAGUUGGGGAACGGGCAACGGGCAAGUUUCUGGAAUGAUCGAUGGCUGUUGGGAAUGGCUCCUGUGGAUGUGGCCCUCGGUUUGUUCGGUUUGGCACGGCGGAAAAGGCUCUCUGUGAAGGAAGCUCUUGCUGGUAAUCGCUGGAUGAAGGGCCUGGAAAGAAUUGCUUCCGAGGAGCUGCUGGAUCAACUUGUCAAGUUAUGGGAGCUGCUGCAACCCAUUGUCCUUUCUGAUGUUCCUGAUACCAUCUGGUGGAAGUUCACUAAUGACGGAGGCUACUCCGCUGCGUCUGCUUACAAUGCUCAGUUUAUUGGUCGCAUCACUGAGCCAUAG